RNAcentral lists this ribosomal RNA (325 nucleotides) under uncultured eukaryote. RNAcentral describes it as "partial 18S ribosomal RNA". It matches the Rfam family "Eukaryotic small subunit ribosomal RNA", at positions 1470 to 1796 of the family's 1831-position model. The record is from RNAcentral.
CCCUUAGAUGGUCUGGGCCGCACGCGCGCUACACUGAUGCAUUCAACGAGCCUAUCCUUGACCGACAGGUCCGGGUAAUCUUUGAAUCUGCAUCGUGACGGGGAUAGAUUAUUGCAAUUAUUAAUCUUCAACGAGGAAUGCCUAGUAGGCGCAAGUCAUCAGCUUGCGUCGAUUACGUCCCUGCCCUUUGUACACACCGCCCGUCGCUCCUACCGAUUGGGUGUGCUGGUGAAAUGUUCGGAUCGGCCGUUUGUCGCGGUUUCCGCGUCAUGUGGCUGAGAAGUUCAUUAAACCCUCCCACCUAGAGGAAGGAGAAGUCGUAACA